GACGAACGCUGGCGGCGUGCUUAACACAUGCAAGUCGAACGGAAAGGCCCUGCUUUUUUGGGGUGCUCGAGUGGCGAACGGGUGAGUAACACGUGAGUAACCUGCCCUUGACUUUGGGAUAACUUCAGGUAACUGGGGCUAAUACCGGAUCGUAGCUCCUGCUGCAUGGUGGGGGUUGGAAAGUUUCGUCGGUUGGUGAUGGACUCGCGGCUUAUCAGCUUGUUGGUGGGGUAGUGGCUUACCCAGGCUUUGACGGGUAGCCGGCCUGUGAGGGUGACCGGCGACAAUGGGACUGAGAGACGGCCCAGACGCCAACGGGAGGCAGCAGGGGGGAGUAUUGCGCAGUGGGCGGAAGCCUGAUGAAGAAACGCCGCGUGCGGGAUGACGGCCUUCGGGUUGUAAACCGCUUUCGCCUGUGACGAAGAGUGAGUGACGGUAAUGGGUAAAGAAGCACCGGCUAACUACGUG
Molecule: ribosomal RNA, 468 nt
Filed under: uncultured bacterium
Lineage: Bacteria
Description: partial 16S ribosomal RNA
Rfam family: Bacterial small subunit ribosomal RNA
Source: RNAcentral